Molecule: ribosomal RNA, 433 nt
Filed under: uncultured bacterium
Lineage: Bacteria
Description: bacterial SSU rRNA
Rfam family: Bacterial small subunit ribosomal RNA
Source: RNAcentral
GAUCCUGGCUCAGAACGAACGCUGGCGGCAUGCCUAACACAUGCAAGUCGAACGAGACCUUCGGGUCUAGUGGCGCACGGGUGCGUAACGCGUGGGAAUCUGCCCUUGGGUUCGGAAUAACAGUUGGAAACGACUGCUAAUACCGGAUGAUGACUUCGGUCCAAAGAUUUAUCGCCCAAGGAUGAGCCCGCGUAGGAUUAGCUAGUUGGUGAGGUAAAGGCUCACCAAGGCGACGAUCCGUAGCUGGUCUGAGAGGAUGAUCAGCCACACUGGGACUGAGACACGGCCCAGACUCCUACGGGAGGCAGCAGUGGGGAAUAUUGGACAAUGGGCGAAAGCCUGAUCCAGCAAUGCCGCGUGAGUGAUGAAGGCCUUCGGGUUGUAAAGCUCUUUUACCCGGGAUGAUAAUGACAGUACCGGGAGAAUAAGCCCC